RNAcentral lists this ribosomal RNA (492 nucleotides) under uncultured bacterium. RNAcentral describes it as "partial 16S ribosomal RNA". It matches the Rfam family "Bacterial small subunit ribosomal RNA", at positions 29 to 507 of the family's 1533-position model. The record is from RNAcentral.
AGUGAACGCUGGCGGUAGGCCUAACACAUGCAAGUCGAACGGCAGCACAGUAAGAGCUUGCUCUUACGGGUGGCGAGUGGCGGACGGGUGAGGAAUACAUCGGAAUCUACUUUUUCGUGGGGGAUAACGUAGGGAAACUUACGCUAAUACCGCAUACGACCUACGGGUGAAAGCAGGGGAUCUUCGGACCUUGCGCGAUUGAAUGAGCCGAUGUCGGAUUAGCUAGUUGGCGGGGUAAAGGCCCACCAAGGCGACGAUCCGUAGCUGGUCUGAGAGGAUGAUCAGCCACACUGGAACUGAGACACGGCCCAGACUCCUACGGGAGGCAGCAGUGGGGAAUAUUGGGCAAUGGGCGAAAGCCUGAUCCAGCCAUACCGCGUGGGUGAAGAAGGCCUUCGGGUUGUAAAGCCCUUUUGUUGGGAAAGAAAAGCAGCAGGUUAAUACCCCGCUGUUCUGACGGUACCCAAAGAAUAAGCACCGGCUAACUUCGUG